UACGAAGGGGGCUAGCGUUGUUCGGAAUUACUGGGCGUAAAGCGCGUGUAGGCGGAUAUUUAAGUCAGGGGUGAAAUCCCGCAGCUCAACUGCGGAACUGCCUUUGAUACUGGGUAUCUUGAGUAUGGAAGAGGUGAGUGGAAUUCCGAGUGUAGAGGUGAAAUUCGUAGAUAUUCGGAGGAACACCAGUGGCGAAGGCGGCUCACUGGUCCAUUACUGACGCUGAGGUGCGAAAGCGUGGGGAGCAAACAGG
RNAcentral lists this ribosomal RNA (253 nucleotides) under uncultured bacterium. Its description in RNAcentral is "partial 16S ribosomal RNA". It matches the Rfam family "Bacterial small subunit ribosomal RNA", at positions 524 to 776 of the family's 1533-position model. The record is from RNAcentral.